GCGGCGUGCUUAACACAUGCAAGUCGAACGGAAAGGCCCUGCUUUUGUGGGGUGCUCGAGUGGCGAACGGGUGAGUAACACGUGAGUAACCUGCCCUUGACUUUGGGAUAACUUCAGGAAACUGGGGCUAAUACCGGAUAGGAGCUCCUGCUGCAUGGUGGGGGUUGGAAAGUUUCGGCGGUUGGGGAUGGACUCGCGGCUUAUCAGCUUGUUGGUGGGGUAGUGGCUUACCAAGGCUUUGACGGGUAGCCGGCCUGAGAGGGUGACCGGCCACAUUGGGACUGAGAUACGGCCCAGACUCCUACGGGAGGCAGCAGUGGGGAAUAUUGCACAAUGGGCGGAAGCCUGAUGCAGCAACGCCGCGUGCGGGAUGACGGCCUUCGGGUUGUAAACCGCUUUCGCCUGUGACGAAGCGUGAGUGACGGUAAUGGGUAAAGAAGCACCGGCUAACUACGUGCCAGCAGCCGCGGUGAUACGUAGGGUGCGAGCGUUGUCCGGAUUUAUUGGGCGUAAAGGGCUCGUAGGUGGUUGAUCGCGUCGGAAGUGUAAUCUUGGGGCUUAACCCUGAGCGUGCUUUCGAUACGGGUUGACUUGAGGAAGGUAGGGGAGAAUGGAAUUCCUGGUGGAGCGGUGGAAUGCGCAGAUAUCAGGAGGAACACCAGUGGCGAAGGCGGUUCUCUGGGCCUUUCCUGACGCUGAGGAGCGAAAGCGUGGGGAGCGAACAGGCUUAGAUACCCUGGUAGUCCACGCUGUAAACGGUGGGUGCUAGGUGUGGGGUCCAUUCCACGGGUUCCGUGCCGUAGCUAACGCUUUAAGUACCCCGCCUGGGGAGUACGGCCGCAAGGCUAAAACUCAAAGGAAUUGACGGGGCCCCGCACAAGCGGCGGAGCAUGCGGAUUAAUUCGAUGCAACGCGUAGAACCUUACCUGGGUUUGACAUGGAUCGGGAGUGCUCAGAGAUGGGUGUGCCUCUUUUGGGGUCGGUUCACAGGUGGUGCAUGGCUGUCGUCAGCUCGUGUCGUGAGAUGUUGGGUUAAGUCCCGCAACGAGCGCAACCCUUGUUCACUGUUGCCAGCACGUUAUGGUGGGGACUCAGUGGAGACCGCCGGGGUCAACUCGGAGGAAGGUGGGGAUGACGUCAAGUCAUCAUGCCCCUUAUGUCCAGGGCUUCACGCAUGCUACAAUGGCUGGUACAGAGAGUGGCGAGCCUGUGAGGGUGAGCGAAUCUCGGAAAGCCGGUCUCAGUUCGGAUUGGGGUCUGCAACUCGACCUCAUGAAGUCGGAGUCGCUAGUAAUCGCAGAUCAGCAACGCUGCGGUGAAUACGUACCCGGGGCUUGUACACACCGCCCGUCAAGUCAUGAAAGUUGGUAACACCCGAAGCCGGUGGCCUAACCGUUGUGGGGGAGCCGUCGAAGGUGGGACUGGUGAUUAGG
Molecule: ribosomal RNA, 1433 nt
Filed under: uncultured organism
Description: 16S ribosomal RNA
Rfam family: Bacterial small subunit ribosomal RNA
Source: RNAcentral